RNAcentral lists this long non-coding RNA (2924 nucleotides) under Podarcis lilfordi (Lilford's wall lizard). The record is from RNAcentral. Lineage: Eukaryota; Metazoa; Chordata; Lepidosauria; Squamata; Lacertidae.
GCAGAAAGUCCUUCCUUUCGACUGUCCUGAAUUUUCAAACAUUCAGCUUCGCUGGAUGCCCCCACUGGGUUCUAGCAUUAUGAGAGAGGUUGACAAACUCUCUUGUCCACUUUCGCCACAGAAUUCCCAGCAACUGUCAUUCAGAGGCAUACUGCCUCCAACUGCAGAGGCAGAGCACAGCCACUGUGGCUAGCAAUCACUAUCAGUCCAUGCGCUGAUGGUGCCUGAGCGCAACAGCUUUCUCAGAACCUGAGCACAACAGCUUUCUUCCUACCUGCCUCUGACAGUCGUGGUAGAACUUAGCCAUCCAAGUUGGUGGCCAUCAGUUUUUCUUGUGGGAGUGAAUUCCAUAGUUUAACUCUGCCCUGUGUGAAGACGGAUGUCUUUCCUUUUGACUGCCCUGAAUUUUUCAGCACUGAAUGGGUGUUGAAUGGGUCCUGAAUCUUCUAACACUGAAUAACCCAUUGAGUUCUAGUAUUAUAUCACUAGUAUUAUAUCACUAUUUUUGAAAGGUCACACUUCCCCAUCCCGAACAUUAAAAUACCCACUAAUUCCAAUCCCUGAAGGGAAUCUUGAUAGAUUGCCUUGUAUGAAGGCAGAAGCAAAUCUAUCCUAUCAGCUGGAUUUUGGGACCAUUGAAGCACUAUCCAUGUAGGAGAAAAAGAUGCCUGUCGAUGGCAGCUGGCACUGAGGAAAGAGCCCAUUAAUCAGACCAACGGCUGCAAACUGUUUGCUGCCUUAUUGACUUCCGUUUGUCAGUUAUGAAUCAACCGUUGCAUAUAUGACCUCCACUUUUAAGCAGGGAUUGCAAUUAGCUGCAGCGAUAAAUAACACCUGUCUUUUGAAAGACAAAUGUAGGGCUCUUUGACCAGGAGGGUUUGAGCAUUCAAAGAAAAACCUUUGCUAAAUCUGGUAAUUGCUGUUGUUAUGAGUUGCUGCCUGAUUACUAGGGAUGGAAGGAUCUGCCAGUUUUGCUUCUCUAGGAUGGAAGGAUCUUUCAGCUUUAGUUCUCUUGGGGCCAGUUUACCUGUGAGAUCGUCUUCCCCCAUAUAUGCCCACGUGACCACUUCAAUUGGAGGAACUGGCACUGUUACAGCUGCCACGUAACACCCCUUCUGCAAUUGUAAGAACUCCGUCUUGUAGUACGGCAGCAGCUGCACUUUGGAACUCCCUGCCUAUUGACACCAGGCACACACCUUUGCUGCACUCUUUUUGAUACUUGCUUAAAACAUUAGAGAAGCCUGUCAGAUGUUUAGAAAAUUGAUGCAGUUUUUGAUCUGUUUUUAGUCUGUUGUUAACUUUUUGAAAGUUUUUUAAUUAUUGUUGUUAAUUUUUCUUAAUGAUUAUUUUAUUGUUUUAGCUUUUUUGUAAAUCACAUGUAGGGUAUAGUUGGUUUUUUUUACAGUGAAGCAGUGUAUAAAUUUAAUGAAAUAAAUAAUAAAUUGAAAGCCAGGCAUUAAUAAAUAAUUACAGAAAAAUCCAUCCACCAUCUCUCUCCCAGGUUCCCUCUCCUGUUCACUAUCCAUGCUUCUUGAGGUCAUAGAAUAAUAGAAUAAAAAAAACCUGUAGCGUUUGAAUGGAAACCAAGGGUCACCUGGUUUAACUCCUUGCAAUGCAGAAAUCACAGCUAAGAUAUGACACUUUCAUAUUUGGGCAGGGAAAGGAUUUGCCACCCUAUCCCUGUUCCUGGAUUUCUGAUGCCGCAGGGAAUUUCUUUUUACUCUCCUUCCUCUUGUUAUUUUCUGUUUCAACUGAAACUCCUUUCAUGUCUGUGCCUGAGUUUUCCUGCAGAAGGCAGACAAAGCCUGCAGGAGGGAACUCCUAUCAAAUCUUUCCAAAAAAAUUAAAAAGGGAGACUUCCAAAAAGCAGCAUAGAUGGGGCAGAACUGGGGGUUGGAAGGUGAGGGAAGGAGGGUGGUCUGAAUCCACAUGUUCCUUCUUUCUGGUUAAAAUCAUCUGAAAUCUGACAGAUGGAAAAUUGGAAAUACUUUUUAUCUUUCUUCUUUCUUUUUGUAUUAUUUCCUUCUUUUUCUUCUUUCUUUUCCUUUGUUUCCCUUCGAGUCCUUUGCUCUGGGUGAUUUAAGAAAAAAAUGGGGUUGGCUUUUACAAGUUUAUUAUCGGUCAGAGAAGAAUGAGUGGAGGCAGGAACCAGAGAAAGAAAGGCAGAUCUUUAUUUUCUGUUGCAACAGAGUCCACACACCUCCACUUGCAAGGAGGUGAGGAGGACCCAGAACAAAUGUAUGUAACAACCUUUAAAGACUUUAGAAAUUGCCCACCCUGUAGCCAAAGACCACCCAAAAGCAUCAGACAGGUGUCACAGAAAGAGGCAAUCUAUAACUGAAAUUUGGGAGUGUGACUGUCUAAUGGCCAGCCUGGGCCAUUCUUCUGAAAUGGCAAAUACCUUAAUUCUAAGAUCCAUGGUCACAGACCUUCCCUAUUCAUGCAAGGUGUUUAUGUUUUUUACAGGAUUUGAAGGAUUUUGCUGGUGAAAAGAACCAUUGGGAAGGGUUUUCCCAAGAUACUUCCUUCUACGGCAGAGAAAAUAUCUGGGGUCUUUAAGAGAGUCAAGAGGCUUCGGGAUUGCUCUGUGAACUCAAAGUGUUUUUUUUUUUAGGGAAUAUUUCCUAAUUUUUGAAGGGCAAAGAAUUGGUUUUCUGUGCCCCUUAAAAAAGCCUAGUUUUUGAAGGGCAAAGGAUGGGUUUUCUGUGCACCUUAAAAUUUGUGUAACAUGAACCAUUAGUGGGGUUCAAGCACUGAAGAUGAUGGUUGGUCGGUGAAGAACCCUGUGUGAGAGGCAGAGAAUGGAGGAAUUCCUAGGCUGGGAGAAGAAAGGGGAGCUCCCAGGUGAGAGCUGGGAGGGUCCAUCCCUUUCAGUGUGAGACAAAGGUUAAGAUUUACCUUUGAGAGAGGACUUUGCAUUUCCC